CGGCUGCCCCUCCACUGCCGCAGUUAGUGGGGCCGCUUCGCUGUGGUCCGGCUCCUCGGGGGUGCCCGAAGGUCCGCGGCCUGGCUUCUGCCCCUCAGGAAGGCCCGGCCCGACCAGACCAGGUGGCUGUUCUGACGGGUGCACUCGGCCCCUUAACCAAAGCAGUGGUGGUUUGGUACAGGCUCCAGAGGAGGUAGAGGUCUGAGCGGUAGCUGGGCCAAGAACUCUGCUAGAAGACCUCACGAAGGAGCCGAGGGGCCCAGUGAGCAUCCCAGUGAGCCCGCAAAACAGGCACACCAGCUCUCCCCACAGUCCCUCCUGCCCCCUUUCCCCCCCCCCCCCCCCAGCCCGUCCCUGGCUACCAUGAUGCAGUGGAACCCCCCCCAGCACCAACACAAACAGUGUGUAUGAGCUUGGAACAUGGAUCAUAUAAGUAACGUGUGAAUUGUGGGUGGGUUUUGCAAGUCAUUUAUCAAGGAACAAAGCAAGUUGUGGGUACAAGGAGUAUCCAGCCUACCUUUCCAAUUAUAUGCAAUUUGACUAUAAGCCAACCAGUUUAGCCCAUAAAUAAGACAGCCUAACAGAGCCUUCUUGGAGCUCUCCCUGCUAGACAGCAUGGCUGUGUAGCAGUGACCUCCCCUUGAGCUGGGGCACCUCUUGAGGUUCCUCCUUGAGGCAGAGAGACCUUUUACCAGCAAUGGUUUGUUGGAUGAGACCAAUUUCAGUUCUCCUUGGGAGUGCAACUGGACUGCACAUCAGGCGACCCCCCCCACCUUGAGCAGGGACACCUCCCAGGGUUUGUGAUCCCAUACCAGAGACGAAGAAAUCCUUCCUUACCCAAGGUGGAGACAGCCCUUAUUCACAACAUAUCCUAGUGGCCAUCCAAACUAUUACGUGAUGCCAAGCAGCCCAACAUCAGGUAAAGCAGCAACACGACCUGCACCCAGAGCAGGAUAACCAGCAUGGUCAAUUGAAAUAUCUUUAACAAGCUCUCCUGAGGGGGUGGGGAGUAACAGUUCCAGGUAAAUACACUCUAUUUUACAUGCAUUUUCUGUCCAGACCUCCUGUUAGCCUCUCAGCAUUGAAAGAGUGGCUUUUCUCUUUGGCAAUGACAGCUUUUGUUUUCACUGUAUUUUUUGUAGUCAAUUUAAGUAGGUGAUUGACUGAGCAACACAACUGGUGUUUUAAUUGCUUUGCUGAUAACAUUCUCAGAGAGGUCAUAAUCUUGUUUAAUUGGGGAGCAACCACUGAAGCACUUUCUCUUCCUUCACCCUUCCUUGCAAUCCCAGUAAGAUCUUGAAGUAAUGACUUUAUACUGUUCCUUGCGGGGAAGAAGAGCCUCUUUUCUGCCAGCAACACUUGGAAGUGGUUCUGUUGUCAAGUUGCGGGCCUUUGCAGUUGGGUGAGAGAAACCUCUAGCUUGCAGUUGAUGCUCUAUUGUGAAUUGUUUAUUUUGGACAAAGAUUAUCUAUACUUUUUUUCCUACUUCUGUGUUUGCGUUCUAUCCUGUUCUACUUUCAGAAGUAAUCUUGACAAGGAAGGCACUAUGUUAGUGGGGUUUUUUUGAUCAAAAUCCCAUUUUUGGUGGGAUUUUUUGAAUGUUCUGGGGGACGCCCAGGGCCUGUAGGGCGCAUCAAGGUCUUUCAGAGGAGGAGAGGUGUUCCUUCAGCUUGCUGGUCUGUCUGCAAUACCGGAGUCCUCGGGACUAGUAGAUGCUCAGGGAGGGAAGUGCUGUGUUUCGAAGCAAACUUGAAACACAGGUCUGUUUUCUGUGCCUCUUAAUUCUCACAAGGUCACUGGGCUAGAGAUACCUUGGAAAUGGGGGAACGCACAGAGUCGUCAGUCUUUGUUUGCAAGGAAGGGUUUCUGUUUUCUUGUUCGGAGAAAUGUUAGAAAUAAGGAGACGUCUGUGAGUUCUUAACAGUUGUGUUCAGGGAGUUUGACUGAUGAAGUUCUUAGGUGUGUGGUGUCCUGUCUUAAUACUUCACAAAUAACGUUUUUUAUCUCAAAUGUGGGAAGGGAACACGGCGCCUUGGUUUCGGCGAUCAGAGCAACGAACAGAUCAGACGGUGCCCUGACUCCUGUCUGGACAAGGCAGAGGUUUUGCACGUCGAACAAACGAAAUCGUGAUGCCUGAACAGCUGAAAGGUGUCAGUGGACUCUGUUCCUGACGAAUACAGACGCUACAGCACAGCCCAUGUUGGGGUGAGCACCUUUUGCCGGGUGUCCGCCAGGUACAACCGAGAAGCGCUUUGUUAGCCCCUGCACUCCCACUGCGGGUCACAAGAUGGGGUCUGAAUACCCAGAGAGACAGCUGUGCCAGCAGCACGUGCAGCAGCGAAACACCACCUUGCCACUCUAUUUUGCUUGGGUACCGUAAUAAAUCUCGCUAGCUGUUUUGCCAAUUGACGGGGUUAACACAAAGGACAC
Long non-coding RNA from Tyto alba (common barn owl), 2430 nucleotides. RefSeq lists it as uncharacterized. The transcript is spliced from 3 exons. The record is from RefSeq and is a predicted model, not a curated record. NCBI's taxonomy places the organism in Eukaryota, Metazoa, Chordata, Aves, Strigiformes, Tytonidae.